GGAAGCGUACCGAAGCGGUCACAACGGGGCGGUCUUGAAAACCGUUUGGGUGCAAGCCCACGGGGGUUCGAAUCCCUCCGCUUCCGCCA
This 89-nucleotide transfer RNA is filed under the name Clostridiaceae bacterium. Its description in RNAcentral is "tRNA-Ser". It matches the Rfam family "tRNA". From Rfam's summary of the family: Transfer RNA (tRNA) molecules are approximately 80 nucleotides in length. Their secondary structure includes four short double-helical elements and three loops (D, anti-codon, and T loops). Further hydrogen bonds mediate the characteristic L-shaped molecular structure. tRNAs have two regions of fundamental functional importance: the anti-codon, which is responsible for specific mRNA codon recognition, and the 3' end, to which the tRNAs corresponding amino acid is attached (by aminoacyl-tRNA synthetases). tRNAs cope with the degeneracy of the genetic code in two manners: having more than one tRNA (with a specific anti-codon) for a particular amino acid; and 'wobble' base-pairing, i.e. permitting non-standard base-pairing at the 3rd anti-codon position. The record is from RNAcentral. Lineage: Bacteria; Bacillati; Bacillota; Clostridia; Eubacteriales; Clostridiaceae.